This 339-nucleotide unclassified non-coding RNA is filed under the name soil metagenome. RNAcentral's name for it is "partial contains 5.8S ribosomal RNA, internal transcribed spacer 2, and large subunit ribosomal RNA". The stretch from base 1 to 120 matches the Rfam family "5.8S ribosomal RNA", at positions 35 to 154 of the family's 154-position model. The record is from RNAcentral.
GAUGAAGAACGUAGCGAAAUGCGAUACGUAGUGUGAAUUGCAGAAUUCAGUGAAUCAUCGAAUCUUUGAACGCACAUUGCACCUCUCGGUAUUCCGGGAGGUAUGCCUGUUCGAGCGUCAUUUGUACCCUCAAGCUUUGCUUGGUGUUGGGUGUUUGUUCCGCCUCUGUGUGUGAACUCGCCUCAAAACAAUUGGCAGCCGGCGUACUUGUUUCGGAGCGCAGCACAUUUUGCGAUCCAGAUCAACGUACAGCGGCAUCCAAGAAGCCUUAUUUAACGCUCUUGACCUCGGAUCAGGUAGGGAUACCCGCUGAACUUAAGCAUAUCAAUAAGCGGAGGA